UUUGCACUUGUCGGGGAAGGGUGAGAACCUUCGAUUAAGGUUCGACUCGAGCGAAAGCGAGAGAACGUUGCCAACGGCAACGGCCCGAAGGGUGAGGAGCGAAGCGACGAAUAAUCCUUCCCCCACCACCA
RNAcentral lists this small RNA (131 nucleotides) under Citrobacter freundii. RNAcentral describes it as "RtT sRNA". It matches the Rfam family "RtT RNA". Rfam says of the family: This family represents a bacterial cis-regulatory element known as RtT RNA. The exact function of RtT is unknown although it is thought that it may be involved in changing the cellular response in relation to amino acid starvation. Lineage: Bacteria; Pseudomonadati; Pseudomonadota; Gammaproteobacteria; Enterobacterales; Enterobacteriaceae. The record is from RNAcentral.